This is a long non-coding RNA of Parus major (Great Tit), 392 nucleotides long. RefSeq lists it as uncharacterized. The transcript has 3 exons. The record is from RefSeq and is a predicted model, not a curated record. NCBI's taxonomy places the organism in Eukaryota, Metazoa, Chordata, Aves, Passeriformes, Paridae.
CAGGUCUGUCGAGCUCCCCAGGACGGGCGGAAUGUGCCAGCGAGGAGCAGCCGCAGUGGCCCCGGCGGUACCACAGGGUGGGGGACAGGAGAAGGAUCCGUGGUACCUGGAGGAGGUCGCCCGUCGUUUAUGUUGAAGGCUGUUGCAAAUAUACCAAAGGGAAACGCCCCAAUUCCAAAUGACAUCUGGAAGCCACCAUCACCAAACCCAAAGCCCUGGAAUCCCUGCAGAGAACAAAGAACAGAAGACAAAAAAGGUCAUGCUCGCUGCCAUCGUGCUGAAGAACACUGUGGUCUGUCCUACCGCCUACUCCCACAUCUACUCCAUCUGCCAACUGCUGUUUACAUUCACCCUAUGUAAUCUCCUCAACAAAACCACAGAUGCCUCUUCAA